Molecule: ribosomal RNA, 446 nt
Filed under: Oenococcus oeni
Lineage: Bacteria; Bacillati; Bacillota; Bacilli; Lactobacillales; Lactobacillaceae
Description: bacterial SSU rRNA
Rfam family: Bacterial small subunit ribosomal RNA
Source: RNAcentral
GAAGAACACCAGUGGCGAAAGCGGCUUGCUAGAUCGUAACUGACGUUGAGGCUCGAAAGUAUGGGUAGCAAACGGGAUUAGAUACCCCGGUAGUCCAUACCGUAAACGAUGGGUGCUAGUUGUUAAGAGGUUUCCGCCUCCUAGUGACGUAGCAAACGCAUUAAGCACCCCGCCUGAGGAGUACGGCCGCAAGGCUAAAACUUAAAGGAAUUGACGGGGACCCGCACAAGCGGUGGAGCAUGUGGUUUAAUUCGAAGAUACGCGAAAAACCUUACCAGGUCUUGACAUACCAAUGAUCGCUUUUGUAAUGAAAGCUUUUCUUCGGAACAUUGGAUACAGGUGGUGCAUGGUCGUCGUCAGCUCGUGUCGUGAGAUGUUGGGUUAAGUCCCGCAACGAGCGCAACCCUUGUUAUUAGUUGCCAGCAUUUAGUUGGGCACUCUAAUGA